Non-coding RNA from Oncorhynchus mykiss (rainbow trout), 716 nucleotides. Lineage: Eukaryota; Metazoa; Chordata; Actinopteri; Salmoniformes; Salmonidae. The record is from RefSeq and is a predicted model, not a curated record.
GAUAAUGGAAUAUUUUAUUUCAUUUAAUCUGAUCAAUAAUCUGAUCUGUUUUUGGUGUCAAUAAUCAGUUAUACAAACAGUCUAAUAUCUAAUAUAAACUGUUGCUCAGCAUGGGGUUACAGGGUCCUGAGUGGUUUAAAAACAACAGAGAACUAAGAAUCAUGGGUAAAAAAAGGUUUCCAAAGACCUACAACAAUAACUACAGGUUUUAUACUGCUAGGUUACAGCUACUAUAACUACAGGUUUUAUACUGCUAGGUUACAGCUACUAUAACUACAGGUUUUAUACUGCUAGGUUACAGCUACUAUAACUACAGGUUUUAUACUGCUAGGUUACAGCUACUAUAACUACAGGUUUUAUACUGCUAGGUUACAGCUACUAUAACUACAGGUUUUAUACUGCUAGGUUACAGCUACUAUAACUACAGGUUUUAUACUGCUAGGUUACAGCUACUAUAACUACAGGUUUUAUACUGCUAGGUUACAGCUACUAUAACUACAGGUUUUAUACUGCUAGGUUACAGCUACUAUAACUACAGGUUUUAUACUGCUAGGUUACAGCUACUAUAACUACAGGUUUUAUACUACUAGGUUACAGCUACUAUAACUACAGGUUUUAUACUGCUAGGUUACAGCUACUAUAACUACAGGUUUUAUACUGCUAGGUUACAGCUACUAUAACUACAGGUUUUAUACUGCUAGGUUACAGCUACUAUA